RNAcentral lists this ribosomal RNA (521 nucleotides) under uncultured bacterium. RNAcentral's name for it is "bacterial SSU rRNA". It matches the Rfam family "Bacterial small subunit ribosomal RNA", at positions 8 to 518 of the family's 1533-position model. The record is from RNAcentral.
AGAGUUUGAUUCUGGCUCAGGAUGAACGCUAGCUACAGGCUUAACACAUGCAAGUCGAGGGCAGCAUGGAACUUAGCUUGCUAAGUCUGAUGGCGACCGGCGCACGGGUGAGUAACACGUAUCCAACCUACCGUUUACUACGGGAUAGCCUUCUGAAAAGGAGAUUAAUACCGUAUGGCAUUCUAAGGUUUCAUGACAUUAGAAUUAAAGGUUUACCGGUAAUCGAUGGGGAUGCGUUCCAUUAGAUAGUAGGCGGGUAACGGCCCACCUAGUCAGCGAUGGAUAGGGGUUCUGAGAGGAAGGUCCCCCACAUUGGAACUGAGACACGGUCCAAACUCCUACGGGAGGCAGCAGUGAGGAAUAUUGGUCAAUGGACGAGAGUCUGAACCAGCCAAAGUAGCGUGAAGGAUGACUGCCCUAUGGGUUGUAAACUUCUUUUAUAAAGGAAUAAAGUGGUCCACGUGUGGAUUUUUGUAUGUACUUUAUGAAUAAGGAUCGGCUAACUCCGUGCCAGCCGCCGC